Long non-coding RNA from Armigeres subalbatus, 385 nucleotides. RefSeq lists it as uncharacterized. Lineage: Eukaryota; Metazoa; Arthropoda; Insecta; Diptera; Culicidae. The transcript is spliced from 3 exons. The record is from RefSeq and is a predicted model, not a curated record.
AUUGUCAAUCCACCCAGUAUCGUUUGAAGUCGAUGACAAACAACAACAAUAGAAGUUGUCAACUUGUUUUCCUUUUUGCACGAGUUUGCUUACAGUAAGAAUUCUGGCUUCGGCUCCUAAAUAUUGUUAGCUGCUGAUACAAAAUAAUCUGUUCCCCAGAAUUAUUCGUGCGACGUUGCGAUAAGGAAAGGCACCACUCAUUCGACGGCCAUGGCGCAUACAACGAGAAAAACAACAAGGAGAGAUCAGAUUCGGCUCGGGAUUUUUAACUGGAAAAACGACUAUGGCGCGAUUGACAGCAUUUUGAGGACAUCCGCUUGUGUCCGUCAACUCAAAUUGAAUAACAAAGAUGAAGUUCAAAAUAAAUAUAUAAUAACAUAAAAUC